Passer domesticus (house sparrow) is the source of this 774-nucleotide long non-coding RNA. RefSeq lists it as uncharacterized. The transcript is spliced from 3 exons. Lineage: Eukaryota; Metazoa; Chordata; Aves; Passeriformes; Passeridae. The record is from RefSeq and is a predicted model, not a curated record.
GGCUGUGCAUGCCCCAUCCUUGGCAACAGGGCUCUGAGCAGCACGCUCUGGGGGAAGACUGCUCAGCUGGGAACAAGAUGUUGUUCUUCAGGCUCCCUUGCAAGCCCAACCGUUCAGGGACUCCAUCAUUCCAUGGUCCCCACUGUCCACUUCAGACUGAGCCUGGACUCCUGGGAACUGUGAUGUCACAGCCCACACUCCAGCUGGAACUUCCAGCAUCCAGCAAAGAGCACAACACAACCGUUGGCCGUUCUGUUCGCGCGCUCUUCACCCUGCUCCUGCCCACUCUGCUUGUCACCUGCAGCUCGAUAACCUCAUCAGUCCUAAAAGCUCCUUAUUGCCUGGAUUUUGUCAUCCAGCCCUGCAGGAUGCUCCCCUUUGUUCUGAGGAAGGCUGUCCCAGACAGAGAGGAGAAGUUGGAGGUGGAUACAAAGAUUGACAUGGAGGAUGAGAUGGAAAUAGACGGAGAAGACCCUGGAGAGGAAGAGAUGGAUGUGGAUGUGGAUGAGGAAGAGGAGAUGGAAUUGGAUAUGGAAGAGUCCAUUGAGGACAUGGACAUUGAUUAAAAGGGUGCGAUGGACAUCAUGGAGAGAGAUGCCACCUUUUUGUACAUACGUUUUGCACUUAGAUGUUGUCUUUAGGAUAUAGGUUUUAUGGCUUUUUGUCUUCUGUAAAUACGUUUCAUAUAUUUUUUGUUAGAUAGGUUUUUCUGUAUAUAUGUUCUAUCGAUUGUUGUUGUUACAAAUAUUCUUGCAAUGUAAAUCUAUUCUGUAU